UACGAGGGGGGCAAGCGUUGUUCGGAAUUAUUGGGCGUAAAGGGUGCGUAGGCGGUUUGAUAAGUCAUCUGUGAAAUCUCUGGGCUCAACCCAGAGUCUGCAGGCGAAACUGUCGGGCUUGAGAGUGGGAGAGGUGAGUGGGAUUUCCGGUGUAGCGGUGAAAUGCGUAGAUAUCGGAAGGAACACCUGUGGCGAAAGCGGCUCACUGGACCAUUUCUGACGCUGAUGCACGAAAGCUAGGGGAGCAAACAGG
This 253-nucleotide ribosomal RNA is filed under the name uncultured bacterium. Its description in RNAcentral is "partial 16S ribosomal RNA". It matches the Rfam family "Bacterial small subunit ribosomal RNA", at positions 524 to 776 of the family's 1533-position model. The record is from RNAcentral.